Molecule: ribosomal RNA, 368 nt
Filed under: Halomonas sp.
Lineage: Bacteria; Pseudomonadati; Pseudomonadota; Gammaproteobacteria; Oceanospirillales; Halomonadaceae
Description: bacterial SSU rRNA
Rfam family: Bacterial small subunit ribosomal RNA
Source: RNAcentral
CAACCCCUAUCCUUAUUUGCCAGCGAGUAAUGUCGGGAACUNUAAGGAGACUGCCGGUGACAAACCGGAGGAAGGUGGGGACGACGUCAAGUCAUCAUGGCCCUUACGGGUAGGGCUACACACGUGCUACAAUGGCAAGUACAAAGGGUUGCAAUACGGCGACGUGGAGCCAUNNCCAUAAAGCUUGCCUCAGUCCGGAUUGGAGUCUGCAACUCGACUCCAUGAAGUCGGAAUAGNUAGUAAUCGUGGAUCAGAAUGCCACGGUGAAUACGUUCCCGGGCCUUGUACACACCGCCCGUCACACCAUGGGAGUGGACUGCACCAGAAGUGGUUAGCNUAACUUUCGGGAGGGCGAUCNUCCUUNGGGU